Molecule: ribosomal RNA, 312 nt
Filed under: Dolosigranulum pigrum
Lineage: Bacteria; Bacillati; Bacillota; Bacilli; Lactobacillales; Carnobacteriaceae
Description: bacterial LSU rRNA
Rfam family: Bacterial large subunit ribosomal RNA
Source: RNAcentral
CGGUUAAGUGAAUAAGGGCGUACGGUGAAUGCCUUGGUACUAGGAGCCGAUGAAGGACGGGACGAACACCGAUAUGCUCCGGGGAACUGUAAGUAAGUUUUGAUCCGGAGAUUUCCGAAUGGGGCAACCCACCAUAUUGAGAAGUAUGGUAUAUACUAAGUGAAUACAUAGCUUAGUGUAAGGGACACGCGGUGAACUGAAACAUCUCAGUAGCUGCAGGAAGAGAAAACAAAUGUGAUUCCCAUAGUAGCGGCGAGCGAAAUGGGAAGAGGCCAAACGAUCAUGCUUGCAUGAUCGGGUUGUAGGACUCAA